GGUAGAAUGGCUGAGUUGUAAGGUGAUAAACUGUAAAUUUAUUUAGGAGAAUUAAAUCUCUUCUACCA
This 68-nucleotide transfer RNA is filed under the name Diestramima sp. ZJZ-2017. RNAcentral's name for it is "tRNA-Tyr". It matches the Rfam family "tRNA". Rfam says of the family: Transfer RNA (tRNA) molecules are approximately 80 nucleotides in length. Their secondary structure includes four short double-helical elements and three loops (D, anti-codon, and T loops). Further hydrogen bonds mediate the characteristic L-shaped molecular structure. tRNAs have two regions of fundamental functional importance: the anti-codon, which is responsible for specific mRNA codon recognition, and the 3' end, to which the tRNAs corresponding amino acid is attached (by aminoacyl-tRNA synthetases). tRNAs cope with the degeneracy of the genetic code in two manners: having more than one tRNA (with a specific anti-codon) for a particular amino acid; and 'wobble' base-pairing, i.e. permitting non-standard base-pairing at the 3rd anti-codon position. The record is from RNAcentral. Lineage: Eukaryota; Metazoa; Arthropoda; Insecta; Orthoptera; Rhaphidophoridae.